UGAGUACGAGAUGCUACGGCAUCGAAGCAGUCUAUGUCAUACUUCCAAGAAAAGCUUGCAAUGUCAUAAACAAAUAAUGCCUGUACCAUAACCGACACAGGUGGGUAGGUAGAGUAUACUAAGGGGCGCGAGAUAACUCUCUCUAAGGAACUCGGCAAAAUGACUCCGUAACUUCGGGAGAAGGAGUGCCUUAUUUUUAUAAGGUUGCAAUAACAAGAUCCAAGCAACUGGUUACCAAAAACACAGGUCUCCGCUAAGUCGUAAGACGAUGUAUGGGGGCUGACGCCUGCCCAGUGCCAGAAGGUUAAAGAAGUUGGUUAGCAUUAGCGAAGCUGAUAACUGAAGCCCUGGUGAACGGCGGCCGUAACAAUAACGGUCCUAAGGUAGCGAAAUUCCUUGUCGGGUAAGUUCCGACCCGCACGAAAGGCGUAAUGAUUUGGAUACUGUCUCGGAGAGGGGCUCGGUGAAAUAGACUUGUCUGUGAAGAUGCGGACUACCUGCACCUGGACAGAAAGACCCUAUGAAGCUUUACUGUAACUUGAGAUUGAAAUUGGACUUUAUCUGCGCAGUAUAGGUGGGAGACGUUGAAAAUAUUCUUGCGGGAAUAUUGGAGUCAUCAGUGAGAUACCACUCUUAUAAUGUUAGAUUUCUAACUUUGUAUCAUUAUCUGGUCAAAGAACAGUUUCAGGCGGGCAGUUUGACUGGGGCGGUCGCCUCCCAAACGGUAACGGAGGCGCACAAAGGUUUCCUCUGAACGUGUAGAAAUCGUAUCUAGAGUGUAAAGGCAUAAGGAAGCUUGACUGUGAGACCUACAAGUCGAGCAGGGACGAAAGUCGGUCUUAGUGAUCUGACGGUGCUGAGUGGAAAGGCCGUCACUCAACGGAUAAAAGUUACUCUAAGGAUAACAGGCUGAUCUCCCCCAAGAGUUCACAUCGACGGGGAGGUUUGGCACCUCGAUGUCGGCUCAUCGCAUCCUGGGGCGGUAGUACGUCCCAAGGGUUGGGCUGUUCGCCCAUGAAAGCGGUACGCGAGCUGGGUUCAGAACGUCGUGAGACAGUUCGGUCCAUAUCCGGUGUAGGCGUUAGAAUAUUGAGAGGAGCCUUCUUUAGUACGAGAGGACCGAGAAGGACAUACCUCUGGUGUACCAGUUAUCGUGCCAACGGUAAACGCUGGGUAGCCAUGUAUGGAGAGGAUAACCGCUGAAAGCAUCUAAGUGGGAAGCCCACCUCAAGAUAAG
Molecule: ribosomal RNA, 1237 nt
Filed under: metagenome
Description: bacterial LSU rRNA
Rfam family: Bacterial large subunit ribosomal RNA
Source: RNAcentral